RNAcentral lists this long non-coding RNA (1020 nucleotides) under Homo sapiens (human). RNAcentral's name for it is "non-protein coding lnc-AGAP4-5:1". Lineage: Eukaryota; Metazoa; Chordata; Mammalia; Primates; Hominidae. The record is from RNAcentral.
UUUUUUUUUGAGAUGGAGUCUUGCUCUGUUGCCAGGCUGGAGUGCAGUGGUGCUCUCAGCUCACUGCAACCUCUGCCUCCCGGGUUCAAGCAGUUCUCCUGCCUCAGCCUCCCAAGUAGCUGGGACUACAGGCACACACCACCACUCCCGGCUAAUUUUUUGUGUUUUAGUAGAGACGGGGUUUUACCAUGUUGGCCAGGAUGGUCUCGAUCCCCCGACCUUGUGAUCCACCCACCUUGGCCUCCCAAAGUGUUGGGAUUACAGGUGUGAGCCACCGUGCCUGGCCUGAAGGUCAUUUUUAUAAAGAUCUCUCCACGUCUUAGAUUUGAUUCUUCCUUUAAAUAUUUUUCUCAUUGACAUUUGAAAGCACCUGACCUUAUAUAAAAUGAACAAUUUUCAUAACUCCAUAAAAGGAGAAUUAUGGCAUCAUCUAUUUCUUUCUCUUGUCUCAUAAAUCUAAACCAUCAACCUGCUUAUUUUUGUAUACUGUCACACUGUGUAUUCCCUGCAUUGAAUGCCUGUCUGUUGACAUUGUCUGUAAAAAUUGUGGGAAGUUUUCUGCACCCUGAAAUUUCUGUUAUGCGGAUUAAAUAUCCACUAUCCAUGUUUUUCCAAGUCUUACAGUAGAAAGGGUAAAUGCAGCCCUCACAGCAGCCUGUUGUUCGUCCUGCAAAUGUGUUUCCAUCACAUUACACAAAGCCUCUUUGUCUUCGUGGUUCUACCCUACUAAUAAGUUUUUAAAAAAAUUAUGUAAUGUGUGUAUAUACAAAUACCUAUAUGUAUGUGUGUACACAUACAGCUGAUAUCUGCUGAGAUUAUGUAUGCAUGAACUAUAGAAUUAACUUGUAAUUUUAAGAAAAUAAAUUAUUUUGUAAAGAUAAAUCUCAUGUUUAAGAAGAGGAAUUACAGUUGAAUCAUUUAGGGAUGCCUCAGCCUAAACAUAAUAUGGAAAAAGCCAUAACCAAAAGUCAUUUUAGAGUACUGCUAGGUUACUCAACCUAUCAUCACAUUUAAUUAAAA